CGUGGCGGCAUGGAUUAGGCAUGCAAGUCGAGCGAGAAGGGUUUGGUGCUUGCAUUGGACCUGGAAAGCGGCGCAAGGGAGAGUAACGCGUAGAUAUCUGCCCCUAGGUCUGGUAUAGCGUCGGGAAACUGGCGGUAAUACCGGAUAAUGUCCCCGGACCAAAGGUGUGAUUCCGCCUAGGGAUGAGUCUGCGUCCUACUAGCUUGUUGGUGGGGUAAUGGCCUACCAAGGCUCUGAUGGGUAGCGGGCGUGAGAGCGUGGCCCGUCUCACUGGGACUGAGACACUGCCCAGACACCUACGGGUGGCUGCAGUCGAGAAUCUUCCGCAAUGGACGCAAGUCUGACGGAGCGAUGCCGCGUGCGGGAUGAAGGCCUUCGGGUUGUAAACCGCUGUCAGUGAGGUGGAAAUGCAUGAAGGUUAUCCUUCAUGUUUGACCUAAUCGCAGAGGAAGUCCGGGCUAAGUUCGUGCCAGCAGCCGCGGUAACACGAACCGGACAAGCGUNAUUCGGAAUUACUGCGCUUAAAGAGUACGUAGGCGGCUACACAAGUUGGGUGUGAAAUCCCACGGCU
Molecule: ribosomal RNA, 571 nt
Filed under: uncultured bacterium
Lineage: Bacteria
Description: bacterial SSU rRNA
Rfam family: Bacterial small subunit ribosomal RNA
Source: RNAcentral